This 104-nucleotide microRNA precursor is filed under the name Marmota monax (woodchuck). The record is from RNAcentral. Lineage: Eukaryota; Metazoa; Chordata; Mammalia; Rodentia; Sciuridae.
AGUGGUAUAACUGGGUCAAAUGGUGAUUUCAUUCUUAGUUUUUUGAGAAAUCUCUACAUUGCUUUCCAGAGCAGUUUGCAUCAAUUUGAAGUCCCACCAGCAAU